UUAAAAGAUCAAACACUUUGAUCAGAGUCAUUCAUCAGCAGGACAAGAUAGCCAAUCAAAUUUAAGCAGAGUCACAUGUCCCAUAACCCUACCUGUGCAUUUUAACAUAAAUAUGGCUUGUCUGCAGGAUUAAAUGGAAGAAGGCAACAGAAAGGCGACUUAGGAAAUGACAUCAGAGAUCAAGAGGCAAGAUACCAUCUAACUUGAAUGUCAGCAAAUGUAACUAUGAACAACAGCGAUCGCUAAACCAGAAGCUGCCAAGGGCAACAUCCACUCCUUGACACUUCUGAUUGUCAUGUCACAACAAGCCAGAGCCAAUCCUUGCAGCAAUGGGAGCAAAGCAGGAACAGCCCCAAGAAGGGAAGCCUGACCAUUCCAACAAUAAAGAAAACACCCAGUGAGGGUAACUGAGCCCCGCCCAUGAUCCUCUGAAAAACCCCGCCUUUUCUGGUCAAGACCUACAAAUACUGACAUCCCUGGAAGGAAUGGCUUCAGAUGCUAAGCAGACCUCGUGCAUGUCAGACGUCCCCUGAUCUUGAACUGCUCAGUUGAGACUUUAAGGCAGACAAGCCUAGCAGGAUAUCCAGGCAGUUUUAUACACCUGUUUUCCAUUCUUACGCUGUUGUGAUGUAAGAUUUUGCAUAUAACUUGAUAAAUGUUUUGUAUGUCUUUAUUUAUAAUUUAGGCAAACCAAG
This is a long non-coding RNA of Polypterus senegalus (gray bichir), 695 nucleotides long. RefSeq lists it as uncharacterized. The record is from RefSeq and is a predicted model, not a curated record. NCBI's taxonomy places the organism in Eukaryota, Metazoa, Chordata, Cladistia, Polypteriformes, Polypteridae. The transcript has 3 exons.